This is a non-coding RNA of Styela clava, 963 nucleotides long. Lineage: Eukaryota; Metazoa; Chordata; Ascidiacea; Stolidobranchia; Styelidae. The record is from RefSeq and is a predicted model, not a curated record.
CGCAGCGUGCUACGGUUCACUCAUUACGUAACAAUGGCGGGAAAUUUCGUGUCAUCUGCGAAAUAAAUUUAACUAUCGAAAACCUAACCAAUUAUUAAUUAGGCCAACCCAAACCCGAAAAAUGGAAGUUAAUAGAGUUGGUUAGGGAGAAGGAUUGUUUGUGGGCGGUUGAUUACCGGAACAAAAUUUUGAAGGAAAAAGCGUGGAUAGAGGUUGGCGAGGAAAUGGGAAUAGGGGUGAAAGAAUGCAAGACAAGGUGGAGGUCGUUGAAAGAUAGGUUCAGGAGAGAGAAGGCGUUUGAGAGUAGGAGUGGGGGUGGAUGUAAAAAAAUGGGAGUUUAUGGGUAGCUUAGAGUUUUUAAACUCGUACUGCGAAAGCAGGAGGUGGGGAAAACAUUUUUACUCUACCCAUACCGUACGUCAUUACCACAAAAGCCCUAUUUUGAUUUUUACAAAGACUGAAUAAAACUUCAUAAAAUAUUUCACGUCAUACACUCCACUAUACAAAGACUGAAUAAAACUUCAUAAAAUAUUUCACGUCAUACACUCCACUAAGUAUACUGAUAUGUCAAUAAAAUGACACUUUCAUAGAAAACAAAACUCUUUUAUUUGAAACAAUGUAUAACAAUAAACUGAAAACUUGCUUUUCCCAUCCUGUAAUCAUCAUUGACCUGUGAAAAACAAAGAUGCCUUACUAAGUAAUGAGUAUGAGGUAACAUAUGGCCCCUGCUUAAUUUUAGAACAUCUAGCAGUGUGCCUGAAGAUGUCACCCUCGUUGUAUAUGAAAAGACGGGGAAGAGUCUUCUUCCAGCUUGGAUAUCGAUCAGGCCAUUUUACGCCUAGUUAAUAAAGAACAAGAUGAUGCUGAAAUAUUUGCCCAAUCGCUUGUGCAGACAUUUAGACGGUUGCCAAAUAAAAAAUUUCAGCAUGCAUAGAUUGAAAUUCAAGAAGUUUUGUUUCAUCU